Molecule: long non-coding RNA, 1922 nt
Organism: Dendroctonus ponderosae (mountain pine beetle)
Lineage: Eukaryota; Metazoa; Arthropoda; Insecta; Coleoptera; Curculionidae
Exons: 2
Source: RefSeq, a predicted model, not a curated record
AGAAUUUUCCGUCGAAAAUGUUCGGUUCAAUUCAACCGAAUUGGUUCAACUUACCUUGGAUCUUCUCGGCAAUAAUUGCAAUGACUUUAAAACAGCUAAAAAUCAUGAUUUUUUUGAUUAAUUUAAAUAAAUCAGUGAUUUUUUAUUUUUUUAAUAAAAAUAAAUUUUUGCCCAACACUGUUUCACAGAACCAUGGUUUAUGAGUCCCACAAACAACCAUACAGUUUAUGUGUUUGCUGAAAAUUCUCACCUCUUAAAAUUGACCAGAAAUAAUUUUUAAGAUUAUGGAUUUAUAAUUAAUGAUUUUAAGAAAAAUGGACAAACCGUUGAUAUUUCACAUAAUUAAAGCAGUAGAGGAAGCCGGAUUCUAUGUUUGUGCCAUCGUCAGCGACCUAGGCGGCAGUAAUAGGGGUCUUCAUAAAAACUUGAAUAUUACUUUCACAGAACCAUGGUUUAUGAGUCCCACAAACAACCAUAAAGUUUAUGUGUUUGCUGACGUUCCGCACCUCUUAAAAUUGACGAGAAAAAAUUUUUUAGAUUAUGGAUUUAUAAUUUAUGAUUGUAAUAUAGAUAAAACUACAAUUCUUAAAGUACUAGAGCUGACAUCUGAGUCAGAUUUAAAGAUAAGUCAUCAAAUAAAUCCACAAUUAUUAAAGGUCGAGGGGCCUCAAAGGCAAAAAGUUAAGUUUGUAGCUAAGCUUUUUUUCCAUGCAUGUCCCAGUCUAUUAAAAGAUGUGGAACAAUAGGUUAUUUUGGAGAGAAUGAGUCCUGGAUAUAGUGCGCUAAGUUUUUUAAAUUGGUAAGAAUUUGACUUAAACUUAUUUUUUCAUUUUUUGGUAGGUUAACGACUGGUUUGAUUGUCUCAAUCUGAGAGUGCCACAUUCAGACACAAAAGAAAGGGUACACGCCUAUGGGCUCCAUUUGGACCUACAAAAUGGUAUACUGGAGGAAAUGUCAAAUAUUAUGAGUAGAAUGAAAGUAAAAGGAAAAACGUCUAUGAUGCCAUUCCAAAAAGGAACGCUUUGGACUUCGCUACGUUUUGACAUAUAAGUUAAAUCAAGACAAAUUAGAAUUUUUUUUUGGAGUAAUACGACGAAUUGGAGGCUUGUAUGAUCAUCCAGACAUUUUGGAAUUUAAAUAGCGACUGAGAAGCAAAUAUUCUUGGCAGAAAUAAAGGAUCUAUUACGGAAGAAGGCAAUACUGAAGAUGAUCAAAUAAGAGACAAUUUAUUACCAAAUGUUGGAGAAGCUUUGCUAAGUGCUAAUUGUUUUGCGUCAUUGGUAGAAGUACAACCCGUUCCAGUGGAGACUGAAGAAGAUAAUUUACCAGAUGAUACAAGUCAGUUAAAAUAUGAUGCUUUAGAACAUAUAAAUGGAUUUAUAUGUAAGAAGCUAAACCUAUCUUCAGUAGAAAGCACUUUACAUUACGUGGACGGACCAACUCUCCGAGGGUGGCUUAUGAAAACCUUCAGCCGAGCUAGUAAGCGAAAUAUAAAAAUUAGAAGCCGUAUUCAACAGUGUUAAUGGAGAAACCAUUAGAAUAGUUACACUAUUUACAGGAUAUGAUUAAUCGCUCUAAUCAUGUUAAUUGCGAUGAGCAGGUCAAACGUCUAUUUUUGAGAUCCAGAAUGUACUUUAGAAUCAAGAAUUUAAACAAUGCGUUAAGGGACACUGGAAAACCAACCAAACGAAAAAUAUCGAAAAGUCAAAUAAACUGCAAUUGAGUUGUACCACUGCUCAAAAUACCACUAUACUUACACUGCUCAGUAAUUCUCACAAUAUUUUAAGAAAUAUUUCGUUCCUUUCAAGGAUUUAUGAUUUUAACCUUAGUAAAAUAGUAUAAGUUGGUGUAUGCGCUGAUAGAACGUAUAGUAUUAUAGGUAAUUUAACAUGUUUAUAAAGUAUUAAACGUUUUUCCUCGUA